AGAAUAGUGUAGAACAAACAUUGUGUAGGAAUGAGGCAGCAAAAAGAGUCGGCCUCACUCCUUCUAUCCAGUUCCUUGAUGGGUUUUCCGGCUCCAGGGUCAUCUCCGCGUUAAGUGUGGCUCCGCCCAUGCAGAGGGGUGGAGCAUAGGCGGAGUCGGAGGAGUCUGGGACGGAACAAAGCCCGGCCUGCGGGCGGCGGCUGGGCUCUCUCCGGAGGCCGGGCCACAGAGAGCGGGUCCUCUGGGCAGCAGUCCGCAGCAAACGUAGGAGGGGUGGAGGCGGCAUCGCGGUCCGCGCGGUCUGGCUAUGAACGGGCUGCCCUCAACUGAGGCGCCCGGUGGCGCGGGCUGCGCUCUGGCUGGGCUCCCGCCGCUACCGCGCGGCCUCAGCGGCCUUCUUAACGCUAGUGGUGGCUCGUGGAGGGAGCUAGAGCGUGUCUACAGCCAACGGAGCCGCAUCCACGACGAGCUGAGUCGUGCCGCCCGCGCCCCGGAUGGUCCUCGCCACGCCGCGGGCUCUGCCAAUUUAGGCUCUGCAGCGGGCCCGCGCCGCCCGGUUAACCUCGACUCUGCACUGGCCGCGCUGCGCAAGGAAAUGUUGUCCGCAGGUGGGUCUGCGACAGCUGGAUAUGUCCCUGCUGUGCCAGCUGUGGGGCCUGUAUGAGUCGAUCCAGGACUACAAGCAUCUGUGCCAAGACCUGAGCUUGUGCCAGGACCUGUCAUCCUCUCUGCACUCCGACAGCUCCUACCCACCCGAUGCCGGCCUGUCUGAUGACGAUGAGCCUCCUGAUGCCAGCCUGCCCCCAGACCCUCCACCCCUCACCGUGCCCCAGACUCACAAUGCCCGUGACCAGUGGUUGCAGGAUGCCUUCCAAAUCAGCCUUUGAAAAGCUGAGGUGGAUUGGAAUGCACCCACACAAAAGGCUCAAAACUUGCCCUUCAGCAAGUCCUUAGUCGACAGUGCCUGCUCUUUUACCGGUACCACCUCACCUCACUUCAGGAGGGCAAGGCAUUAUACCCAUCAGGCAAAGCGGUCAAGAUUGCAGCCUCUACCCGGUGUACUGGGCUAACACUUCUCCCACAUGUGUGCACCCUAGCUUGGCCAGCCCUUAGUCUGACCGUGGGGCCCAAAGCGUCUUGCACUCCCGUUUGCAUCUCUGGGACUGGGAUGAGUGCCUAGCUUCCAUCUCUUUGUCGUCUUUUGCUGCCUCUUGCAGCUACUGGCUCAGGGGCAUCACUACCUGUGGCCCCAG
RNAcentral lists this long non-coding RNA (1253 nucleotides) under Rattus norvegicus (Norway rat). RNAcentral describes it as "long non-coding RNA NONRATT003463". Lineage: Eukaryota; Metazoa; Chordata; Mammalia; Rodentia; Muridae. The record is from RNAcentral.